UUAAUUGAAACCAAAAAGAGGUAUACCACUGUUAAUGGUAUAAUUGAAGUAAAUUCCAAUUAAA
This 64-nucleotide transfer RNA is filed under the name Curculionoidea sp. 13 KM-2017. Its description in RNAcentral is "tRNA-Asn". The record is from RNAcentral. Lineage: Eukaryota; Metazoa; Arthropoda; Insecta; Coleoptera.